Molecule: long non-coding RNA, 318 nt
Filed under: Linum usitatissimum (flax)
Lineage: Eukaryota; Viridiplantae; Streptophyta; Magnoliopsida; Malpighiales; Linaceae
Description: long non-coding RNA (LUSI_LNC001032)
Source: RNAcentral
GUCAGCUGAGUGGAAAUGGAGGAGGAAAAGCUCCUGACUGAAAACUGAAGCAGCAAGUAUGCCCGUUACACUCGACAGGAGUUCAGAGGUCGAUUGAGCUAUGAUCUCCGUGCAGAGGGCGAAACCCGCAAACACUGCAAGAUGGAGGAACAUGGUUGCGUGUUCUAGCUUGAUGAGGUGGAAGGUGAAGUGUAAGCGAGGAAAGUCAAAGACUUGGUCAACGAGCGCGAGUAUCGAGAAGGACAGAAUGAGUAGUGGCUCGAGGUGUUUGAGCCUGGAGAAAGGAUUGUACAAUAAGGGGUACCAAAACUUGACUGU